Zophobas morio is the source of this 216-nucleotide long non-coding RNA. RefSeq lists it as uncharacterized. The transcript is spliced from 3 exons. NCBI's taxonomy places the organism in Eukaryota, Metazoa, Arthropoda, Insecta, Coleoptera, Tenebrionidae. The record is from RefSeq and is a predicted model, not a curated record.
CAACAUCAAUUGAGUCAUCUUUGUGCCGACAUUUUUCAUUGUCACUUUCGAGACUGCGGGAAAAUCUACAAAAUUUCAUUCUCCAACUCGCCCUGUUUAUAAAUGCGAUAAAGAAGACUGUGGGAAAUUAUAUUUGUCACAAAGUUCUUUGCUUCAUCAUAAAGAGUUUCGGCACGAAGGCAUAAAAAAGUUUUCCUGUACUUAUAACCGCUGCAC